UACAGAGGGUGCUAGCGUUGUUCGGAUUUACUGGGCGUAAAGGGCGCGUAGGCGGCCAGCACAAGUCAGUUGUGAAAUCUCCGAGCUUAACUCGGAACGGUCAACUGAUACUGUGCGGCUAGAGUGCGGAAGGGGCAACUGGAAUUCUUGGUGUAGCGGUGAAAUGCGUAGAUAUCAAGAGGAACACCUGCGGCGAAGGCGGGUUGCUGGGCCGACACUGACGCUGAGGCGCGAAAGCCAGGGGAGCGAACGGG
Molecule: ribosomal RNA, 254 nt
Filed under: uncultured bacterium
Lineage: Bacteria
Description: partial 16S ribosomal RNA
Rfam family: Bacterial small subunit ribosomal RNA
Source: RNAcentral